UACGAAGGGUGCAAGCGUUACUCGGAAUUACUGGGCGUAAAGCGUGCGUAGGUGGUUUGUUAAGUCUGAUGUGAAAGCCCUGGGCUCAACCUGGGAAUGGCAUUGGAUACUGGCGAGCUAGAGUGCGGUAGAGGGUAGUGGAAUUCCCGGUGUAGCAGUGAAAUGCGUAGAGAUCGGGAGGAACAUCUGUGGCGAAGGCAGCCUUCUGGGCCAACACUGACGCUCAUGCACGAAAGCGUGGGGAGCAAACAGG
Molecule: ribosomal RNA, 253 nt
Filed under: uncultured bacterium
Lineage: Bacteria
Description: partial 16S ribosomal RNA
Rfam family: Bacterial small subunit ribosomal RNA
Source: RNAcentral